Molecule: ribosomal RNA, 694 nt
Filed under: uncultured bacterium
Lineage: Bacteria
Description: bacterial SSU rRNA
Rfam family: Bacterial small subunit ribosomal RNA
Source: RNAcentral
GGAUAACGUUUGGAAACGAACGCUAAUACCGCAUGAUAUUAUUGAGCUGCAUGGCUUGAUAAUCAAAGGAGCAAUCCGCUGAAAGAUGGGCUCGCGUCCGAUUAGGUAGUUGGCGGGGCAACGGCCCACCAAGCCGACGAUCGGUAGCCGGACUGAGAGGUUGAACGGCCACAUUGGGACUGAGACACGGCCCAGACUCCUACGGGAGGCAGCAGUGAGGGAUAUUGGUCAAUGGGGGAAACCCUGAACUAGCAACGCCGCGUGAGGGAAGACGGUUUUCGGAUUGUAAACCUCUGUCCUCUGUGAAGAUAAUGACGGUAGCAGAGGAGGAAGCUCCGGCUAACUACGUGCCAGCAGCCGCGGUAAUACGUAGGGAGCAAGCGUUGUCCGGAUUUACUGGGUGUAAAGGGUGCGUAGGCGGCUUUGCAAGUCAGAAGUGAAAUCCAUGGGCUUAACCCAUGAACUGCUUUUGAAACUGCAGAGCUUGAGUGGAGUAGAGGUAGGCGGAAUUCCCGGUGUAGCGGUGAAAUGCGUAGAGAUCGGGAGGAACACCAGUGGCGAAGGCGGCCUGCUGGGCUCUAACUGACGCUGAGGCACGAAAGCGUGGGUAGCAAACAGGAUUAGAUACCCUGGUAGUCCACGCUGUAAACGAUGAUUACUAGGUGUGGGUGGACUGACCCCAUCCGUGCCGGAG